GGUUAAGCGACUAAGCGUACACGGUGGAUGCCCUGGCAGUCAGAGGCGAUGAAGGACGUGCUAAUCUGCGAUAAGCGUCGGUAAGGUGAUAUGAACCGUUAUAACCGGCGAUUUCCGAAUGGGGAAACCCAGUGUGUUUCGACACACUAUCAUUAACUGAAUCCAUAGGUUAAUGAGGCGAACCGGGGGAACUGAAACAUCUAAGUACCCCGAGGAAAAGAAAUCAACCGAGAUUCCCCCAGUAGCGGCGAGCGAACGGGGAGCAGCCCAGAGCCUGAAUCAGUGUGUGUGUUAGUGGAAGCGUCUGGAAAGGCGCGCGAUACAGGGUGACAGCCCCGUACACAAAAAUGCACAUACUGUGAGCUCGAUGAGUAGGGCGGGACACGUGGUAUCCUGUCUGAAUAUGGGGGGACCAUCCUCCAAGGCUAAAUACUCCUGACUGACCGAUAGUGAACCAGUACCGUGAGGGAAAGGCGAAAAGAACCCCGGCGAGGGGAGUGAAAAAGAACCUGAAACCGUGUACGUACAAGCAGUGGGAGCACGCUUAGGCGUGUGACUGCGUACCUUUUGUAUAAUGGGUCAGCGACUUAUAUUCUGUAGCAAGGUUAACCGAAUAGGGGAGCCGAAGGGAAACCGAGUCUUAACUGGGCGUUAAGUUGCAGGGUAUAGACCCGAAACCCGGUGAUCUAGCCAUGGGCAGGUUGAAGGUUGGGUAACACUAACUGGAGGACCGAACCGACUAAUGUUGAAAAAUUAGCGGAUGACUUGUGGCUGGGGGUGAAAGGCCAAUCAAACCGGGAGAUAGCUGGUUCUCCCCGAAAGCUAUUUAGGUAGCGCCUCGUGAAUUCAUCUCCGGGGGUAGAGCACUGUUUCGGCAAGGGGGUCAUCCCGACUUACCAACCCGAUGCAAACUGCGAAUACCGGAGAAUGUUAUCACGGGAGACACACGGCGGGUGCUAACGUCCGUCGUGAAGAGGGAAACAACCCAGACCGCCAGCUAAGGUCCCAAAGUCAUGGUUAAGUGGGAAACGAUGUGGGAAGGCCCAGACAGCCAGGAUGUUGGCUUAGAAGCAGCCAUCAUUUAAAGAAAGCGUAAUAGCUCACUGGUCGAGUCGGCCUGCGCGGAAGAUGUAACGGGGCUAAACCAUGCACCGAAGCUGCGGCAGCGACGCUGAUGCGUUGUUGGGUA
This 1189-nucleotide ribosomal RNA is filed under the name Escherichia coli. RNAcentral describes it as "partial 23S ribosomal RNA". It matches the Rfam family "Bacterial large subunit ribosomal RNA", at positions 1 to 1230 of the family's 2925-position model. Lineage: Bacteria; Pseudomonadati; Pseudomonadota; Gammaproteobacteria; Enterobacterales; Enterobacteriaceae. The record is from RNAcentral.